UAGGGAAUAUUGGGCAAUGGAUGCAAGUCUGACCCAGCCAUUCCGCGUGCCGGAUGAAGGCCCUCAGGGUCGUAAACGGCUUUUGAAUGGGAAGAAUAGUUACCAUGCGUGGUAAUGUGACGGUACCAUUCGAAUAAGCACCGGCUAACUCCGUGCCAGCAGCCGCGGUAAUACGGAGGGUGCAAGCGUUGUCCGGAUUUAUUGGGUUUAAAGGGUGCGUAGGUGGUUUUAUAAGUCAGUGGUGAAAUCCGGUCGCUUAACGAUCGAUGUGCCAUUGAUACUGUAGGACUUGGAUAUGUUGGAGGUUGCCGGAAUGGGUGGUGUAGCGGUGAAAUGCAUAGAGAUCACCCAGAACGCCAAUUGCGAAGGCAGGUGACUACGACAUUAUCGACACUGAGGCACGAAAGCAUGGGUAGCGAACAGG
Molecule: ribosomal RNA, 424 nt
Filed under: uncultured prokaryote
Also listed under: 1 other name
Description: bacterial SSU rRNA
Rfam family: Bacterial small subunit ribosomal RNA
Source: RNAcentral